UUGCCAGCGAUCGACGCCCAAGCUUCCUUACUGGAGACGACACCCGUGACGCUAGUCUUCCCCCAAGGUCCCCGGUCCCAACCCAACUCCAGAAACCCACCACCGCCGCCGCCGCCCACCGCCACCAGCACCGCACCGCACUGCACCAACCACCGCCCUUCUCCCCCAGAUCUACCUAGCCAGCCCGUCCCCGCCUACUUAUUGCCUCUCAACUCCCGCCAACACCUCAGCCAGGCCCUCUCCCCCUCACCCGCUGCGCAUGACCCGAUCCAGAUCGAGCCGCAGCUCCGGUGCCCUCCUCGCCGGCGGCCAGGUUUCCGCUGUCGCCCGGGCCGCGGCCCGCUGCCCGUCCUCCCUCUUCGCCGCCGGCCUCUUCCACCCCAGCACCUCCGCGGUUCCUCCCCGACGAACCAGCCUCGAUGGAUGGCAGCGCCGCGGUGGAGCUCGCCGGCGCCUAGGACUGCAGCCCCUGCCUACACGAGCUGCAGCUCGUAGCUGCUGCCGGCGACCACGUUCCCGAGCUCCUGCUGCCGGCCUCAACUCCGUGUUGUUGAUGCCAACCAUCUCCAGCUCAAGCUGCUGCCGACGGAGAAGGGGAUGUCUCGGACAGAUUGGUGGGCAACUUCUCAGAGCUGCACGCUCUCCGGUCAAGGAGCACCUUAUUCUGCUCUGUCAACCGCUGUCAUCGUGAAGGUCAUGUUCCUGUUUUGAUGCCUCUUUUGUGCACCUAGGAUUAUGUUCUUGUGUACAUUUGUAGCUGAAACUUUUAUCAGGCACAACAACUUAAUUUGGUCUCGUUUCACGUGGCAGGGCAGAUGGCGGCUGCGCCCAAGCAUGUGAUGUUGGAGCUGGCGUCAUUGUAGGCAUAACUGUGAUUCGCUGAGCUGCUGCUGCUGGUGUCCACUACGACCUGCUGCCCUUGCCUUAUUCGACUGCACCGUGUCAUCCUGAAGUUUUUGUCGUAGCUGUGGUGAUGCUCGGAAUCGGCUGCUUGUCAACCACUAAUAUGGUUACUAAGUACAAGAUGGCAUAGCAACGCAGUACAGAGGAUGGAAGCAGAGGAUUUUGGUUUGACUACAGUUGGAAAUACCGAAUUAGACACUGACCAGAGAUGUUCACGGGCUAAGGAUCACUAUGGCACAUUUCAGUGUAAAUAUUGCAUGCUGUGCAGCAUACACAUCACGGACUGGAUACGUGUAACGUGGAUACGACGAAUUCUUGUGUAGUAUCUUGGAAGACUUGUCUCA
Molecule: RNA transcript, 1247 nt
Organism: Lolium perenne
Lineage: Eukaryota; Viridiplantae; Streptophyta; Magnoliopsida; Poales; Poaceae
Source: RefSeq, a predicted model, not a curated record